RNAcentral lists this ribosomal RNA (459 nucleotides) under uncultured bacterium. Its description in RNAcentral is "partial 16S ribosomal RNA". It matches the Rfam family "Bacterial small subunit ribosomal RNA", at positions 338 to 795 of the family's 1533-position model. The record is from RNAcentral.
CCUACGGGAGACAGCAGUGAGGAAUAUUGGUCAAUGGACGCAAGUCUGAACCAGCCAUGCCGCGUGCAGGAAGACGGCUCUAUGAGUUGUAAACUGCUUUUGUCCGAGGGUAAACGCAGACACGCGUAUCCGUCUGAAAGUUACUUACGAAAAAGGAUCGGCUAACUCCGUGACAGCAGCCGCGGUAAUACGGAGGAUGCGAGCGUUUUCCGGGUUUAGUGGGUUUAAAGGGUGCGCAAGCGGAAGAUCAAGUCAGCGGUAAAAUGUAGGGGCUCAAACGCUUCGAGCCGUUGAAACUGGUGUUCUUGAGUGAGUGAGAAGUAUGCGGAAUGCGUGGUGUAGCGGUGAAAUGCAUAGAUAUCACGCAGAACUCCGAUUGCGAAGGCAGCAUACCGGCGCUCAACUGACGCUCAUGCACGAAAGUGUGGGUAUCGAACAGGAUUAGAUACCCGAGUAGUC